UUGGUGGUGCAUGAAUGAGAAACUACGUCCCAUGUUGCCUUUUCAAAUGCCUCGGCUCAGUUUUAGACUCUUCUCAUGAUGAGUUUUGGAUAUUGAAUGAGGUAAUCUAAAUUACCUCUCUAACAGUCCGGUGUUGUCUUCAAAUGCCUCGGCUUGGUUUUAGACUCUUCUAAUCAUGAGUCUCUAACUCAGAAACAGAUUGUUGGUGGUGCAUGGCUGAGAAAUGAUGUCCCGUAUCACUUAUACAAAUGCCUCGGCUCGGUUUUAGACUCUUCUAGCGAUGAGUCUUUAACUCAAAAACAGAUUUUUGGUGGUGCAUAAAUGAGAAACUACGUCCGGUGUUGCCUUCUCAAAUGCCUCGGUUCAGUUUUAGACUCUUCUCAUGAUGAGUUUUUGGAUACAAAAUGAGGUAAUCUAAAUUACCUCUUUAACAGUCCCAUGUUGCCUAUUCAAAUGCCUCGGCUCGGUUUUAGACUCUUCUAACGAUGAGUCUCUAACUCAGAAUCAGAUUGGUUGUGGUGCAUGGCUAAGAAAUUAUGUCAUGUGUUACUUAUACAAAUGCCUCGUCGCAGUUUUAGACUCUUCUAACGAUGAGUCUCUAACUCAGAAUCAGAUUGGUUGUGGUGCAUGGCUAAGAAAUUAUGUCCCGUGUUACUUAUACAAAUGCCUCGUUGCAGUUUUAGACUCUUCUAACGAUGAGUCUUUAACGCAGAAACAGAUUGUUGGUGGUGCAUAAAUGAGAAACUACAUCCCGUGUUGCCUUUUCAAAUGCCUCGGCUUAGUUUAAGAUUCUUCUCACGAUAAUGUCUGUUUCUAAUGAUUGUAUUUUAAAUUUGCAGGGUGGAAGAUAUUGAUUUGGACUUGGUCGAUUAGGUGCUCCAUGGUAAUAUGUGUUGUUCUUUUAAUAUAUGUUGUUCUGUUAUUUAGUAUAGUCAGUUGAUUAUCUUAUGUCGUUCUGCUCAUGAGUUAUAGAUUCAUAUGUAUGUCCAUUAAACAGGUAAAGCUUGAUGAAACUAGAAGAUUAAAUGUGACUUAUGUAAUGGAUCUUGGAGCAAGAAAAAGAUCAGCUCGUUUAUAUGCACUUAUGAGAAAAACACAAGUAAGAAUUCUUUUACGAUCUCUUAAUUUCCCUUUUUUCAGAUGUGUUUAGGAUCCAAGAUAGUCAUGGGAUGAUUAAAAUUGUUUUUUAUGUUUUGUGUAUUUUUUAUUCUCUGAGAAAUUGUCUCUUUUGUGCUUAUCUAUCAUCAUUCAGAGAUCUCACAGACUCUUAUUUCAG
Molecule: long non-coding RNA, 1276 nt
Filed under: Capsella rubella
Lineage: Eukaryota; Viridiplantae; Streptophyta; Magnoliopsida; Brassicales; Brassicaceae
Description: long non-coding RNA (CRUB_LNC004266)
Source: RNAcentral